RNAcentral lists this long non-coding RNA (1077 nucleotides) under Setaria italica (foxtail millet). Its description in RNAcentral is "long non-coding RNA (SITA_LNC000593)". Lineage: Eukaryota; Viridiplantae; Streptophyta; Magnoliopsida; Poales; Poaceae. The record is from RNAcentral.
UUACAUUCACUUAGUCAACACAUAGAUGGAUAUGGAGUUGAGAGUCCAUGCUUCUUUUAGGCUUGACUAGGUGAAGGUACGUAGAAUUUAGGGGGUGCAUAUGCACCCACCCUAAAAUUCAAAUUCAGCGAUUGAAAAUGAAUUUUCACCGUAUAUGUAUCUCCCACUGCUCAUAUCUAUAUGCACCCACAGGUAGACAUUAUUCCCCUCUAAUUUGCUCUAACUUUGCCACAGGGACAGGUGCAGGAGAUGGAGACUUUGGCCACCGCCAGGGUGACGUUGUCGCCGAUAGCCAGCGGAUUCAGAUCGCCACCACUACCCUCGGUGGUGUGGCGCUGAUCUGUUCUGUUGUGAUCUGCUCCUCCGUGUCCAGUGGUAGGGAUGAGAUGGACACACAAGGCAAGGUGCAGCCAACGAUAUGCUGACCAAAAGUGUUCGUACUUUUUUCUUAAAGAAGUUCGUACUGAAUUAUCAUGCAAAAAAAAGAACGCAUAGUAGUUGAGUUAACCGUUCGAUUCAAGGGGGGAAAUGGCCUCAUAAAUCAUCAGGAGUUGAAAUGGCGACUGACCCCGUCACAGCUUGCUCGGUAGUCGGUAGAGCUUGCUGCAGCCUCCCUCUUCCCAGACUUUCACCAGCUGAGCUCAGGGAUGGUGUUUCCCGGCGAUCCGCGACAAAGGAAACGAUUACCGGAGUCAGAGAGUCUGAAGAAAGAAAAUGGAUGGGAACGACAAGGACAACGAGGGGGCAUAGCUUCGGCAGGCUUUGCAGUAAUGCAGUCGGUCGAGCUCCCAGCUACUCCUUCCAACAUGAACAGUGUCCUGCCUGUACGUGCCGCCAAUGUGGUGCUUGGCGUCGGCGAGAAACGCCGGGCCCGAUGCGAGAGCUACGCCUGACGCCCGGACCCCCUGCCCCAUACCGACUCCACUGCGACACCACCGCCGGAGUCCGAUGCUUCCUGCCGCGGCAGAACCCAACCACGCCCCCACCCCGGUCGUAAAGCAGGGCACGGGUGGCCCCACCAAUAUUCCCGCAGCGGCCUACUACGCGGCAGCCCUACGCCACGACGCUAGGCCAUUC